UAUUGGUCAAUGGGCGAGAGCCUGAACCAGCCAAGUAGCGUGAAGGAUGACUGCCCUAUGGGUUGUAAACUUCUUUUAUAAAGGACUAAAGUCGGGUAUGGAUACCCGUUUGCAUGUACUUUAUGAAUAAGGAUCGGCUAACUCCGUGCCAGCAGCCGCGGUAAUACGGAGGAUCCGAGCGUUAUCCGGAUUUAUUGGGUUUAAAGGGAGCGUAGAUGGAUGUUUAAGUCAGUUGUGAAAGUUUGCGGCUCAACCGUAAAAUUGCAGUUGAUACUGGAUAUCUUGAGUGCAGUUGAGGCAGGCGGAAUUCGUGGUGUAGCGGUGAAAUGCUUAGAUAUCACGAAGAACUCCGAUUGCGAAGGCAGCCUGCUAAGCUGCAACUGACAUUGAGGCUCGAAAGUGUGGGUAUCAAACAGGA
RNAcentral lists this ribosomal RNA (418 nucleotides) under uncultured bacterium. Its description in RNAcentral is "bacterial SSU rRNA". It matches the Rfam family "Bacterial small subunit ribosomal RNA", at positions 362 to 777 of the family's 1533-position model. The record is from RNAcentral.